Molecule: ribosomal RNA, 429 nt
Filed under: Gemmatimonadota bacterium
Lineage: Bacteria; Pseudomonadati; Gemmatimonadota
Description: Gemmatimonadetes bacterium partial 16S ribosomal RNA
Rfam family: Bacterial small subunit ribosomal RNA
Source: RNAcentral
UAGGGAAUCUUCGGCAAUGGACGAAAGUCUGACCGAGCAACGCCGCGUGAGUGAAGAAGGUUUUCGGAUCGUAAAACUCUGUUGUUAGAGAAGAACAAGGACGUUAGUAACUGAACGUCCCCUGACGGUAUCUAACCAGAAAGCCACGGCUAACUACGUGCCAGCAGCCGCGGUAAUACGUAGGUGGCAAGCGUUGUCCGGAUUUAUUGGGCGUAAAGCGAGCGCAGGCGGUUUCUUAAGUCUGAUGUGAAAGCCCGCGGCUCAACCGGGGAGGGUCAGUGGAAACUGGGAGACUUGAGUGCAGAAGAGGAGGGUGGAAUUCCAUGGGUAGCGGUGAAAUGCGUAGAUAUAUGGAGGAACACCAGUGGCGAAGGCGGCUCUGUGGUCUGUAACUGACGAUGAGGCUCGAAAGCGUGGGGAGCAAACAGG